Molecule: ribosomal RNA, 506 nt
Filed under: uncultured bacterium
Lineage: Bacteria
Description: partial 16S ribosomal RNA
Rfam family: Bacterial small subunit ribosomal RNA
Source: RNAcentral
AUUGAACGCUGGCGGCAGGCCUAACACAUGCAAGUCGAACGGUAACAGGAAGAAGCUUGCUUCUUUGCUGACGAGUGGCGGACGGGUGAGUAAUGUCUGGGAAACUGCCUGAUGGAGGGGGAUAACUACUGGAAACGGUAGCUAAUACCGCAUAACGUCGCAAGACCAAAGAGGGGGACCUUCGGGCCUCUUGCCAUCGGAUGUGCCCAGAUGGGAUUAGCUUGUUGGUGGGGUAACGGCUCACCAAGGCGACGAUCCCUAGCUGGUCUGAGAGGAUGACCAGCCACACUGGAACUGAGACACGGUCCAGACUCCUACGGGAGGCAGCAGUGGGGAAUAUUGCACAAUGGGCGCAAGCCUGAUGCAGCCAUGCCGCGUGUAUGAAGAAGGCCUUCGGGUUGUAAAGUACUUUCAGCGGGGAGGAAGGGAGUAAAGUUAAUACCUUUGCUCAUUGACGUUACCCGCAGAAGAAGCACCGGCUAACUCCGUGCCAGCAGCCGCCGCUG